Molecule: ribosomal RNA, 421 nt
Filed under: uncultured bacterium
Lineage: Bacteria
Description: bacterial SSU rRNA
Rfam family: Bacterial small subunit ribosomal RNA
Source: RNAcentral
UGGGGAAUAUUGCACAAUGGGGGAAACCCUGAUGCAGCGACGCCGCGUGGAGGAAGAAGGCCCUCGGGUUGUAAACUCCUGUCUUUGGGGGACGAUAAUGACGGUACCCAAGGAGGAAGCCACGGCUAACUACGUGCCAGCAGCCGCGGUAAAAGCGAUAGGUGGUGCAAGCGUUGUCCGGAAUUACUGGGUGUAAAGGGAGCGCAGGCGGAGCGGCAAGUUGGAGGUGAAAACCCAUGGGCUCAACCCAUGAAUUGCCUUCAAAACUGUCGGUCUUGAGUGGUGUAGAGGUAAGCGGAAUUCCCGGUGUAGCGGUGGAAUGCGUAGAUAUCGGGGAGGAACACCAGUGGCGAAGGCGGCUUACUGGGCACUAACUGACGCUGAGGCUCGAAAGCAUGGGUAGCAAACAGGAUUAGAUACC